This 117-nucleotide ribosomal RNA is filed under the name Propithecus coquereli (Coquerel's sifaka). The record is from RNAcentral. Lineage: Eukaryota; Metazoa; Chordata; Mammalia; Primates; Indriidae.
AUCUACGGCCAUACCACCCUGAACGUGCCCAAUCUUGUCUGAUCUUGGAAGCUAAGCAGGGUCAGGCCUGGUUAGCACUUGGAUGGGAGAUGAUGGGAAUAAUUAAAACAGCAAAUA